UCGCCCCCAAAUCCCACCCCUACCACCGGCUGCAGCACACACCACCUGCGCACAACUCAUCGCCGCCCCAACCAAACACCGGAACCCCGCCACCGGAUUCGGUCGCCACGGCCCCGGGCACGGCCAGCCGCACAAGAUCCGGCCGCCGCCACCGCUGCCAUGACGGCCUUCUGUGCAGGAGCACCUACGGCGUGAGGGCACACCGGGACCCGCCACGCCUUGCUCCAUCGCGCGGGAGACGCGAAGGAGUGGCUCCCCCUGAAUCUCCUGCCAACCGCCGCGGCCCAUUGGAGAUUGACGCAGCGGCAUGGCCGGGGUUGGAGGAGAUGGCGCAGAUCCAGUCACGCUGCCGAUAGGAGCCCCAGCGCAUCCCACGGCCAUGGUGGGAUCCCCACCGCGGGCAUGCCCCUUCCGACCGCCCUCCCUGAUGGCCGCCUCCCUAGUCCUUCUCCUCGUCCCCUCCGGUUCGGAAGCACUCCCUGCGUCGACAACAAAAAGGUGAAACGAUGAUUUUUCUUGUUCAGAUGCAGCUCACUUCGUCGACAUCGUCCGGCGUCACUGGAGCAGUCCACACAGCAGGCGCAAGCGGCCGUCGUCGACUCAUUAUGUCAUACACUUGCACGCGCCACCUCUUGCAUCUUCCAAAUUCGUUUGUAGGCGCCGACGUGCUGGUUCUAUUGCUGUUCAGAAAAGAUUUUUUUUUAGAUUUUGCUAGUGCACAACACUGCAGUUUGCUUGUGCUCACGGUGCGGUGCGGUUGGGAGACCAGUUACUAUUUUUCUGUUGAUUUCACAGAUUUUCCAAUACGUUUGUAAGAAAUGUUUAAAACAGUAGUUCAUUGUACAAAAAA
Triticum dicoccoides is the source of this 850-nucleotide long non-coding RNA. RefSeq lists it as uncharacterized. The transcript has 2 exons. The record is from RefSeq and is a predicted model, not a curated record. Lineage: Eukaryota; Viridiplantae; Streptophyta; Magnoliopsida; Poales; Poaceae.